This is a long non-coding RNA of Columba livia (rock pigeon), 2137 nucleotides long. RefSeq lists it as uncharacterized. Lineage: Eukaryota; Metazoa; Chordata; Aves; Columbiformes; Columbidae. The transcript is spliced from 3 exons. The record is from RefSeq and is a predicted model, not a curated record.
GAUGUCCUUCCUAAGGCAAUUUGUAUCUGAGGUCAAUGGGUUAACUUUGAAGUCGGGCAAAGUGGAAGGAGGGCAAUGAAAUAGCAGUGCCACCUCUUAGGUCUCUGAGGUAUAUAUUUGGAAAGAAAAGUCAAUCAAAAACACAGGAGGAGCUUUAGCUGGCAGCUGAGACAAUGGCAGAGACACUUAGUGCGGAACGCAAAAGGAAACUGAUUCAUGGAAAGAAACUCAUCUUAACACAUGAGAGUUACUCUUGUGGGAACAAAAGCCUCACCCUCCAGGAAUAUGAAUGCAUGCAAUGAAGAUGGUUCUCUUUGGCUGAAGAAAAGGCCUGCCCAUGUUCCAAGCAACCCCAUGAUAGUUUCUACUGCAUCAGCCCCAGAUAAGGAAUACUUGCUUCCUAUGGGAGAUCAUGUUCUAGCAUCAACUGCAUCCCUGGCUGAGCAAUCUUGGUAGAGAAGGUUGGCAUGCACUGCUGCAAUUUUAUUCUUGGAUGCUGAAAGAUUAAAUCAGAAAAGCCUCCUCCAGUGGAUCUUCAAUUCCAAAAUAUUUCAAUUCACUGUUUUAAGAGGAUUUACACAUUUAACUGAUUCAAAUGCAUUAAAACACUGUGUAAGACUGAGUGGCAAUGUUGUAACAAAGUUGGACUUCCUUUUUCUGAACCAUGUUAAACUGAAAGCUUCCUACUCCCACUCAGAUCAGGAGUCAUUUUGCCAUUGGCUGUCACGAGGAGAAAAAGUGGGUCUUAAAUAGGUAACAGAUUGGAAGGACAUGGGUAAUUAGUGAUGCGAGCUAAGUAUUUAAACACAAAGCGAAAUGCGAAACACUAGGACCGUUUUUACUUUGUCAUGCUGUGCAAAGCAAACCACCUCACAUUUAGGAUGCUUAAUUCAAUUUGUGUUACACUACUGAUGAUUAUGAAAUGCAUUUUGAAGAUGUUUGUUUUAUCUUCUCCUGUAAGUGCAGACAACAUACAGAGACUUAUUUCCUAGAUGAAAGUACAAAUAUAAGUAGAGAGGCACUUCGUGAAUACUAUACGAAAAAAAAACGUAUCUAAUGAAAAUUAAAAUUCAGGAUGUAUUUAAGCAGAUUUAAGAAUUUAGGUGUUUCUAGUAUGAUGUAACAAAAGGGAGGCAUCAUUCUUCUUAGUUGGAACAGGUAGAAUAAAAAAUGAAAACGCCAUUUUCUCUUUAUUUGAAAUGUCACAGAUUUUACACUCAUGCACUUACACUUCACACAUACAUCUGCCUAUUAGUAGAGGACUAAAUAGGGAUUUCCCUCAUCAUUAUUUCAAAUAAGAGAACGAAGAGACUGAAUUUCACUAAAAUUCCCGAGAGGGUAGUGUUUUAUUAAAAAUAAAAGCCAAAAUGGAAAAACUUUGCUGAAUAUUCAAGUAAGUACAAAUACAUAAAGCACUAUUUAUAGCAUUCUUGUGAUCAUUCCCAGCUCUUUCUCACAAUGACCUUCAAAUAUACCUCUUUGCCAAAGAAAAGGAUCAGUGUAAAUUUAUUACUCAGCAAUACUAAAUGGGUCUUUUUUUCUAUCAUGCAUGAAAUUCCACUUCUCUACUACUACAAAAUGACACUGUGCCCUUCCAGAAGGGCUCUAAAGCACAGCGAUGCAAAGUGCCCUUCUGGGUUUUGCUGACCUAGAGGAUUUAUCUUUCUAGUAAAAGUGCCCAACUGAAAUACUCUGGAACAUCCAUACGCACAACAAACAAGCUUAAAAGGUGUUUCCUUUGGGGGAUUUAGUAGGUACUAAAUUUUAUGCUCCCAUCUACAUCCAGUUGACGUAGGAUCGACAUUUAUUUACCAACAUAGUUUCAGAUUUUCAUCUUACAGCAUCUCUCUGGAUAUGCCAAAUUAAUUAACCCUCCCCCCAACAAACCAAAUAAACCCCACCAGUAAAUAUUUAAUUUUAUUUAAGCCAGUGGAUCUAAACUUAGUAUUCAUUUUACUUUCUUAUCUACUAUAAAGAUAUUGGAAAUAGCUUAAGAGAUAUAAUAAAGGUAUAGUUAAACAGAUGACCUACAUUGUAAUUGCCCAAGAGACAAACUGGUAAAGUAACCAGAAGUCAACAAAGCAAUUCAAAACAAACUUGUUCAGAUACACAUUACAUAUAUUUUAUAUUUACCUUC